RNAcentral lists this unclassified non-coding RNA (219 nucleotides) under Hevea brasiliensis (rubber tree). Lineage: Eukaryota; Viridiplantae; Streptophyta; Magnoliopsida; Malpighiales; Euphorbiaceae. The record is from RNAcentral.
CUUUUGUAUGUUAAUUUCGUCAUUUCCUUCUCAAAAUUUUCUCAUUUUCUUUCUCUCCAUCUUAAUCCAUCCUUCCUACUUAACAAUCCAGGAAUCUCAUGACCUGAAUUAGGUGCGUAUUUGCAUCUCAAUCUAUCUGAUACUAGUUAGAUUUUCAUUUUUGAUGUAUACUGUUGGAAUUUGGGAUUGGUAGAUCCGGAUCGAGGAGGAAGUGAAUAG